GACGUAGGGGGCCAGCGUUGCUCGGAAUUACUGGGCGUAAAGGGUUCGUAGGCGGUGUGGCAAGUCGGGAGUGAAAUCUCUGGGCUUAACUCAGAGGCUGCUUCCGAAACCGCCGUGCUAGAGUGCGGGAGAGGCGAGUGGAAUUGCAGGUGUAGCGGUGAAAUGCGUAGAUAUCUGCAGGAACACCCGUGGCGAAGGCGGCUCGCUGGACCGCAACUGACGCUGAGGAACGAAAGCUAGGGGAGCAAACAGG
Molecule: ribosomal RNA, 253 nt
Filed under: uncultured bacterium
Lineage: Bacteria
Description: partial 16S ribosomal RNA
Rfam family: Bacterial small subunit ribosomal RNA
Source: RNAcentral